RNAcentral lists this ribosomal RNA (488 nucleotides) under uncultured bacterium. Its description in RNAcentral is "partial 16S ribosomal RNA". It matches the Rfam family "Bacterial small subunit ribosomal RNA", at positions 28 to 507 of the family's 1533-position model. The record is from RNAcentral.
GAUGAACGCUAGCGGCAGGCUUAACACAUGCAAGUCGAGGGGCAGCAUAAUGGAUAGCAAUAUCUAUGGUGGCGACCGGCGCACGGGUGCGUAAUGCGUAUGCAACCUACCUUUAACAGGGGGAUAACACUGAGAAAUUGGUACUAAUACCCCAUAAUAUCAUAGAAGGCAUCUUUUAUGGUUGAAAAUUCCGAUGGUUAGAGAUGGGCAUGCGUUGUAUUAGCUAGUUGGUGGGGUAACGGCUCACCAAGGCGACGAUACAUAGGGGGACUGAGAGGUUAACCCCCCACACUGGUACUGAGACACGGACCAGACUCCUACGGGAGGCAGCAGUGAGGAAUAUUGGUCAAUGGACGCAAGUCUGAACCAGCCAUGCCGCGUGCAGGAUGACGGCUCUAUGAGUUGUAAACUGCUUUUGUACGAGGGUAAACGCAGAUACGUGUAUCUGUCUGAAAGUAUCGUACGAAUAAGGAUCGGCUAACUCCGUG